RNAcentral lists this ribosomal RNA (828 nucleotides) under uncultured bacterium. Its description in RNAcentral is "bacterial SSU rRNA". It matches the Rfam family "Bacterial small subunit ribosomal RNA", at positions 74 to 891 of the family's 1533-position model. The record is from RNAcentral.
GUCUCUUCGGGGAUGAUUAAACCGGCGCACGGGUGAGUAACACGUGAGUGACCUGCCUUUUAGACUGGAACAACUUACCGAAAGGUGAGCUAAUGCCGGAUGAGUUAUAUAAGUGCAUGUUUAUAUAGGAAAAGUUGGGGAGACCUGACGCUGAAAGAUGGACUCGCGUCCCAUUAGCUAGUUGGUAGGGUAAUGGCCUACCAAGGCGACGAUGGGUAGCCGGCCUGAGAGGGUGGCCGGCCACACUGGGACUGAGACACGGCCCAGACUCCUACGGGAGGCAGCAGUGGGGAAUUUUGCGCAAUGCUCGUAAGAGUGACACAGCGACGCCGCGUGAAUGACGAAGGCCUUCGGGUCGUAAAGUUCUUUCGACAGGGAAGAAAAUGCCUAUAAGUAACUGUGUAUGUAUUGACGGUACCUGCAUAAGCAGCCCCGGCUAACUCCGUGCCAGCAGCCGCGGUAAUACGGAGGGGGCGAGCGUUGUUCGGAGUGACUGGGCGUAAAGAGCACGUAGGCGGUGUUGUAAGUCAUUAGUCAAAGACUAGAGCUCAACUUUAGUAAGGCUAGUGAUACUAUAAUACUAGAGUAUCAGAGAGGAUUGCAGAAUUCCUGGUGUAGCGGUGAAAUGCGUAGAUAUCAGGAGGAAUACCGUUAGCGAAGGCGGCAAUCUGGCUGGAAACUGACGCUGAGGUGCGAAAGCGUGGGUAGCAAACAGGAUUAGAUACCCUGGUAGUCCACGCUGUAAACGAUGGAUGCUAGGUGUUGGGCUUUUAAGUUCAGUGCCGCAGCAAACGCGAUAAGCAUCCCGCCUGGGGAGUACGUUUGCAA